This 27-nucleotide non-coding RNA is filed under the name Homo sapiens (human). The record is from RNAcentral. Lineage: Eukaryota; Metazoa; Chordata; Mammalia; Primates; Hominidae.
UAAUGGCAGAACUCCAUGGACAUGGAC